This 253-nucleotide ribosomal RNA is filed under the name uncultured bacterium. RNAcentral's name for it is "partial 16S ribosomal RNA". It matches the Rfam family "Bacterial small subunit ribosomal RNA", at positions 524 to 776 of the family's 1533-position model. The record is from RNAcentral.
UACGUAGGUGGCAAGCGUUGUUCGGAAUUAUUGGGCGUAAAGGGCGCGUAGGCGGCUUGUUAAGUCGGUUGUGAAAGCCCGGGGCUCAACCCCGGAGAGUCGACCGAUACUGGCGAGCUAGAGUACGGAAGAGGUAGCUGGAAUUCCCGGUGUAGCGGUGAAAUGCGUAGAUAUCGGGAGGAACAUCGAUGGCGAAGGCAAUCGCCUGGGCCUGAACUGACACUGAGACACGAAAGCGUGGGUAGCAAACAGG